UACGUAGGGUGCGAGCGUUGUCCGGAAUUACUGGGCGUAAAGAGCUCGUAGGUGGUUUGUCGCGUUGUUCGUGAAAACUCACAACUCAAUUGUGGGCGUGCGGGCGAUACGGGCAGACUGGAGUACUGCAGGGGAGACUGGAAUUCCUGGUGUAGCGGUGAAAUGCGCAGAUAUCAGGAGGAACAUCAGUGGCGAAGGCGGCCUGCUGGGCUGUUGCUGACGCUGAGGCGCGCAGCGUGGGGAGCAACCAGG
Molecule: ribosomal RNA, 252 nt
Filed under: uncultured bacterium
Lineage: Bacteria
Description: partial 16S ribosomal RNA
Rfam family: Bacterial small subunit ribosomal RNA
Source: RNAcentral